UCUAAAUGUACCUGAGACUUGAGAUGGGCACUGUCCUGGGUGCUCCUGUCCACCAUGCAGUGGGACCUCACACCUCCGGUGCAGAGAGGGUGGUGGGUUCUCAGAGCUCACAUUAUGACGACUGCACCCCUGCCUGAUGGCUACAUCAAGUUCAGCCCCAGCUGUCACCCAGCCCUAGCAGGGAGGCAUCCAGCUCAGGACUAGCAAAAGGCAGAGAAACAUUCAGCAGAAGUUGGAAGUAUCACAUUUCCAGCUUCAGCAUCUUUUGAUUCGAGGAGGAAAGAACAGCUUACAUGUGUCAGGUUUCUGCCUGUUUGCUCAGAUAUCACCAGACCUGUACUUUGGCUUGCCCAUCACAGAGCGCAUUGUGUUUGAUGCCAGGAAGGGAGGGGACAGCCUGCAGACAGAGGUGUACUCAGGUUCUCCAACCCCACUGCGCACCCCUGGAGGAUGAAAUCUCCUUUCAAAGACUCUUAUCCACUGGCUUGUUGUCCAUUGGACUCUGAAUCAUUCUCAUAUCCAGCCAGGAGACUUCAGC
Molecule: long non-coding RNA, 538 nt
Filed under: Gallus gallus (chicken)
Lineage: Eukaryota; Metazoa; Chordata; Aves; Galliformes; Phasianidae
Description: lncRNA (ENSGALG00010006495.1)
Source: RNAcentral